This is a long non-coding RNA of Ahaetulla prasina, 623 nucleotides long. RefSeq lists it as uncharacterized. Lineage: Eukaryota; Metazoa; Chordata; Lepidosauria; Squamata; Colubridae. The record is from RefSeq and is a predicted model, not a curated record. The transcript is spliced from 3 exons.
CGUACUUCACUUCUCAGAGUUUCCAAGUGAUUAUGAUCUUUGCUGGGGCUUCCAAUGCUGAAGUCUGAAAUCCCUAAGACUGGGAAAGACUGUGUUAUACUAUUGUCUUGCAGGACAUUUUUGUUAAUUGAAACCCUUACUCAAACUGAUUUUUACUGAACUAAAAAAGAAUUUCAGGACCAGGCCUAAAAAUUAGGAUUUCAACCUAAUUUCAACCUACCCCGCAGGGCAAAUCAGAGAUCGCUGUUGCAGCUAUGAUUCUAACAGGAGCUUUAAAAUGACAGCCAGGUGGUAUCUUUGAUGUUAUUGCUACAGCCCUCUAUGGAUACCUUCCACUUCUCUUGGGAGUUCAAAGGAGAGCAUUACUUAUCACAUUGUGUUCUCAAAGUUCUGAAGUGGGUAGAAGUGAAAAUCAGCAGGACAUUUCAAGAUUUUAUCUCAAGUUGUGAUCCUUUUAAGGAUUUUGCUUUUUUAGCUGACAUUCUGUCAUUCUUUGUCAGUUUUCUCAAAUGUAAAUAACCUGCAGAUAUGCAACUUCAGCUUCCAGAAUUCUGAUAAAUGGUCAUGUUUGACUGGAGUCCUAUAGUCUACAUACCUGGAAAUAGAGAAAAUUACUCUCUUUC